AGUGAACGCUGGCGGUAGGCCUAACACAUGCAAGUCGAACGGCAGCACAGUAAGAGCUUGCUCUUACGGGUGGCGAGUGGCGGACGGGUGAGGAGUACAUCGGAAUCUACUUUUUCGUGGGGGAUAACGUAGGGAAACUUACGCUAAUACCGCAUACGACCUACGGGUGAAAGCAGGGGAUCUUCGGACCUUGCGCGAUUGAAUGAGCCGAUGUCGGAUUAGCUAGUUGGCGGGGUAAAGGCCCACCAAGGCGACGAUCCGUAGCUGGUCUGAGAGGGUGAUCAGCCACACUGGAACUGAGACACGGUCCAGACUCCUACGGGAGGCAGCAGUGGGGAAUAUUGGACAAUGGGCGCAAGCCUGAUCCAGCCAUACCGCGUGGGUGAAGAAGGCCUUCGGGUUGUAAAGCCCUUUUGUUGGGAAAGAAAAGCAGCAGGUUAAUACCCCGCUGUUCUGACGGUACCCAAAGAAUAAGCACCGGCUAACUUCGUG
RNAcentral lists this ribosomal RNA (492 nucleotides) under uncultured bacterium. RNAcentral's name for it is "partial 16S ribosomal RNA". It matches the Rfam family "Bacterial small subunit ribosomal RNA", at positions 29 to 507 of the family's 1533-position model. The record is from RNAcentral.